AUCCCGGUGGGAAAAGGGCACCAGCGCGGCUGCUGCUGCCUCAGCGCCGCUGGGCUGGGGCUGGGGCUGGGCCGGCAGUUCCCGGUGCCUCAGUGUGAAAAGUGCGUGUUUUAUGGCUGGCUUUUCGCAAAUAUGAAAAUGAAUAUUGCAUGUGUUAUGUUAGAAAGUUGUGCUGCGUUAGCAUUUCAGCAGUAUGGUAACUGCGGUUCCACAGUUAAAAGGAGGAGGAGACAGCUGGUGGGCUGCUGGUUUGCCCGGUGUCGCUGCAGAGGUGGCACUGCCACCCUCCAUCCUCUGUCACCUCUGGAAAUCUGUAAAUGCUGGGGUCAGAAAUA
This is a long non-coding RNA of Pyrgilauda ruficollis (rufous-necked snowfinch), 335 nucleotides long. RefSeq lists it as uncharacterized. The record is from RefSeq and is a predicted model, not a curated record. NCBI's taxonomy places the organism in Eukaryota, Metazoa, Chordata, Aves, Passeriformes, Passeridae. The transcript is spliced from 2 exons.